CAGUCGCCACGGUAAUACGUAGGGUGCGAGCGUUAGUCGGAAUUACUGGGCGUAAAGCGUGCGCAGGCGGUUAUAUAAGACAGAUGUGAAAUCCCCGGGCUCAACCUGGGACCUGCAUUUGUGACUGUAUAGCUAGAGUACGGUAGAGGGGGAUGGAAUUCCGCGUGUAGCAGUGAAAUGCGUAGAUAUGCGGAGGAACACCGAUGGCGAAGGCAAUCCCCUGGACCUGUACUGACGCUCAUGCACGAAAGCGUGGGGAGCAAACAGGAUUAGAUACCCCCGUAGUCCCUGUCUCUUAUAC
This 301-nucleotide ribosomal RNA is filed under the name uncultured bacterium. RNAcentral's name for it is "partial 16S ribosomal RNA". It matches the Rfam family "Bacterial small subunit ribosomal RNA", at positions 509 to 807 of the family's 1533-position model. The record is from RNAcentral.